GACACGCUGGCGGCGUGCCUAACACAUGCAAGUCGAGCGGGGUUGAGGCGAGAGGUAACUCGAACUUCUACCUAGCGGCGGACGGGUGAGUAACGCGUGGGGCAACCUGCCUCAAGGUUUGGGAUAACAGCCCGAAAGGGCUGCUAAUACCGGAUAUGCCUAUGGCCUCGCAUGGGGCUAUGAGCAAAGGGGAAACCCGCCUUGAGAUGGGCCCGCGUCCCAUCAGCUAGUUGGUGAGGUAACAGCUCACCAAGGCGACGACGGGUAGCCGGCCUGAGAGGGUGACCGGCCACACUGGGACUGAGACACGGCCCAGACUCCUACGGGGGGCAGCAGUGGGGGAUCUUGCACAAUGGGCGAAAGCCUGAUGCAGCGACGCCGCGUGAGCGAAGAAGGCCUUCGGGUUGUAAAGCUCUGUCUGGAGGGACGAACAAAAUGACGGUACCUCCGGAGGAAGCCACGGCUAACUACGUG
RNAcentral lists this ribosomal RNA (474 nucleotides) under uncultured bacterium. Its description in RNAcentral is "bacterial SSU rRNA". It matches the Rfam family "Bacterial small subunit ribosomal RNA", at positions 33 to 507 of the family's 1533-position model. The record is from RNAcentral.